UCUACCAAGGCCCUUUGGAA
RNAcentral lists this non-coding RNA (20 nucleotides) under Arabidopsis thaliana (thale cress). The record is from RNAcentral. Lineage: Eukaryota; Viridiplantae; Streptophyta; Magnoliopsida; Brassicales; Brassicaceae.